This 301-nucleotide ribosomal RNA is filed under the name uncultured bacterium. RNAcentral describes it as "partial 16S ribosomal RNA". It matches the Rfam family "Bacterial small subunit ribosomal RNA", at positions 509 to 807 of the family's 1533-position model. The record is from RNAcentral.
CAGCAGCCACGGUAAUACGUAGGGUGCAAGCGUUGUCCGGAAUCAUUGGGCGUAAAGCGCGCGUAGGUGGCCAUUUAAGUCCGCUGUGAAAGUCAAAGGCUCAACCUUUGAAAGCCGGUGGAUACUGGAUGGCUAGAGUACGGAAGAGGCGAGUGGAAUUCCUGGUGUAGCGGUGGAAUGCGCAGAUAUCAGGAGGAACACCAAUAGCGAAGGCAGCUCGCUGGGACGUUACUGACACUGAGGCGCGAAAGCGUGGGGAGCGAACAGGAUUAGAUACCCCGGUAGUCCCUGUCUCUUAUAC